Molecule: ribosomal RNA, 279 nt
Filed under: uncultured bacterium
Lineage: Bacteria
Description: partial 16S ribosomal RNA
Rfam family: Bacterial small subunit ribosomal RNA
Source: RNAcentral
UGCCAGCCGCCGCGGUAAUACGGAGAGUGCGAGCGUUGUUCGGAAUCAUUGGGCGUAAAGGGCGUCUAGGUGGCCUUCUAAGUCAGAUGUGAAAUCCCUCGGCUCAACCGAGGACGUGCAUUUGAAACUGGAAGGCUUGAGUACUGGAGGGGGCAGCGGAAUUCUCGGUGUAGAGGUGAAAUUCGUAGAUAUCGGGAGGAACACCAGCGGCGAAGGCGGCUGUCUGGCCAGAUACUGACACUGAAGCGCGAAAGCGUGGGGAGCAAACAGGAUUAGAUA